This 465-nucleotide ribosomal RNA is filed under the name uncultured Klebsiella sp. RNAcentral's name for it is "bacterial SSU rRNA". It matches the Rfam family "Bacterial small subunit ribosomal RNA", at positions 338 to 795 of the family's 1533-position model. The record is from RNAcentral. Lineage: Bacteria; Pseudomonadati; Pseudomonadota; Gammaproteobacteria; Enterobacterales; Enterobacteriaceae.
CCUACGGGUGGCUGCAGUGGGGAAUAUUGCACAAUGGGCGCAAGCCUGAUGCAGCCAUGCCGCGUGUGUGAAGAAGGCCUUCGGGUUGUAAAGCACUUUCAGCGGGGAGGAAGGCGUUAAGGUUAAUAACCUUGGCGAUUGACGUUACCCGCAGAAGAAGCACCGGCUAACUCCGUGCCAGCGGCCGCGGUAAUACGGAGGGUGCAAGCGUUAAUCGGAAUUACUGGGCGUAAAGCGCACGCAGGCGGUCUGUCAAGUCGGAUGUGAAAUCCCCGGGCUCAACCUGGGAACUGCAUUCGAAACUGGCAGGCUAGAGUCUUGUAGAGGGGGGUAGAAUUCCAGGUGUAGCGGUGAAAUGCGUAGAGAUCUGGAGGAAUACCGGUGGCGAAGGCGGCCCCCUGGACAAAGACUGACGCUCAGGUGCGAAAGCGUGGGGAGCAAACAGGAUUAGAUACCCGUGUAGUC